GACGAACCGAGCGAACGUUGUUCGGAAUCACUGGGCUUAAAGGGCGCGUAGGCGGGCCGCCGCGUCCGGGGUGAAAUCCUCCCGCUCAACGGGAGAACGGCCUCGGAUACGGGCGGCCUGGAGGGGGGUAGGGGCACCUGGAACUGUGGGUGGAGCGGUGAAAUGCGUUGAUAUCCACAGGAACUCCGGUGGCGAAGGCGAGGUGCUGGACCCCAACUGACGCUGAGGCGCGAAAGCCAGGGGAGCGAACGGG
RNAcentral lists this ribosomal RNA (253 nucleotides) under uncultured bacterium. RNAcentral's name for it is "partial 16S ribosomal RNA". It matches the Rfam family "Bacterial small subunit ribosomal RNA", at positions 524 to 776 of the family's 1533-position model. The record is from RNAcentral.